GAUGAAGAACGCAGCGAAAUGCGAUACGUAAUGUGAAUUGCAAAUUCAGGGAAUCAUCGAGUCUUUGAACGCACAUUGCGCCCCCUGGUAUUCCGGGGGGCAUGCCUGUCCGAGCGUCAUUGCUGCCCUCAAGCACGGCUUGUGUGUUGGGCCCCGUCCUCCGAUCCCGGGGGACGGGCCCGAAAGGCAGCGGCGGCACCGCGUCCGGUCCUCGAGCGUAUGGGGCUUUGUCACCCGCUCUGUAGGCCCGGCCGGCGCUUGCCGAUCAACCCAAAUUUUUAUCCAGGUUGACCUCGGAUCAGGUAGGGAUACCCGCUGAACUUAAGCAUAUCAAUAAGCGGAGGA
RNAcentral lists this unclassified non-coding RNA (345 nucleotides) under soil metagenome. RNAcentral's name for it is "partial contains 5.8S ribosomal RNA, internal transcribed spacer 2, and large subunit ribosomal RNA". The stretch from base 1 to 119 matches the Rfam family "5.8S ribosomal RNA", at positions 35 to 154 of the family's 154-position model. The record is from RNAcentral.